UACGAAGGGGGCUAGCGUUGUUCGGAAUUAUUGGGCGUAAAGAGCUCGUAGGCGGUUCGUCGCGUCGGCUGUGAAAUCCCGAGGCUCAACCUCGGGUCUGCAGUCGAUACGGGCGGACUGGAGUUCGGCAGGGGAGACUGGAAUUCCUGGUGUAGCGGUGAAAUGCGCAGAUAUCAGGAGGAACACCGAUGGCGAAGGCAGGUCUCUGGGCCACUACUGACGCUGAGAAGCGAAAGCAUGGGGAGCGAACAGG
Molecule: ribosomal RNA, 253 nt
Filed under: uncultured bacterium
Lineage: Bacteria
Description: partial 16S ribosomal RNA
Rfam family: Bacterial small subunit ribosomal RNA
Source: RNAcentral